UGCCAGCCGCCGCGGUAAUACGGAGGGGGUUAGCGUUGUUCGGAAUUACUGGGCGUAAAGCGUACGUAGGCGGAUUAAUAAGUAGGUUAUUAAAUACCGGAGCUCAACUUCGGUGCUGUAAUCUAAACUGUGUUUCUAGAGGAUAGGAGAGGUAUGCGGAAUUGUGCAAGUAGGGGUAAAAUCCGUAGAUAUGCACAGGAACACCAAAAGCGAAGGCAGCAUACUGGACUAUUCCUGACACUCAGAGACGAAAGCGUAGGUAGCAAAACGGAUUAGAUA
RNAcentral lists this ribosomal RNA (279 nucleotides) under uncultured bacterium. RNAcentral describes it as "partial 16S ribosomal RNA". It matches the Rfam family "Bacterial small subunit ribosomal RNA", at positions 506 to 784 of the family's 1533-position model. The record is from RNAcentral.